GAAAUGCGAUAAGUAAUGUGAAUUGCAGAAUUCAGUGAAUCAUCGAAUCUUUGAACGCACAUUGCGCCCGCCAGUAUUCUGGCGGGCAUGCCUGUUCGAGCGUCAUUUCAACCCUCAGGCCCCCAGUGCCUGGCGUUGGAGAUCGGCCGUACGGCUGCAGCCCUCCGGGGAUGCGCGCCGGGCCGGCUCCGAAAUCUAGUGGCGGUCUCGCUGUAGUCCUCCUCUGCGUAGUAGCACAACCUCGCAGUUGGAACGCGGCGGUGGCCAUGCCGUUAAACACCCCACUUCUGAAAGUUGACCUCGGAUCAGGUAGGAAUACCCGCUGAACUUAA
RNAcentral lists this unclassified non-coding RNA (332 nucleotides) under uncultured Sordariomycetes. RNAcentral describes it as "sequence contains ITS1". The stretch from base 1 to 105 matches the Rfam family "5.8S ribosomal RNA", at positions 50 to 154 of the family's 154-position model. Lineage: Eukaryota; Fungi; Ascomycota; Sordariomycetes. The record is from RNAcentral.